Molecule: unclassified non-coding RNA, 257 nt
Filed under: Hevea brasiliensis (rubber tree)
Lineage: Eukaryota; Viridiplantae; Streptophyta; Magnoliopsida; Malpighiales; Euphorbiaceae
Source: RNAcentral
AGAAAUGGCAUUCAACAACAAAUCCUUUGCUAAAAUUAGUUCCAAUAGAUUUUAUUAAUUAAUGGUUGGCUGUUUCUAAUGAAAAUGUGAUUAAUUUUCUAUACUUCCACUUGUUUAUUGCAUGGAUUGACUAAAAAUUAAUAAUUUUGAAGGUCUUGCCAUUAAAUUAAUAAUUUAAUAUCUAAAUGUCUAUUCAUCAAAUUGAGAUUCUCUUAAAGUUUGGUGUAUAUAACCUAUCAUGUUAGUAAAAUUUUAUU